Non-coding RNA from Clathrus columnatus, 91 nucleotides. The record is from the annotation of a GenBank genome assembly. NCBI's taxonomy places the organism in Eukaryota, Fungi, Basidiomycota, Agaricomycetes, Phallales, Clathraceae.
GGCAACAUGGCCGAGUGGUUAAGGCGUCAGACUCGAAUGCUUCGAUAUCUGAUCCUCUUUGAGGGCGCAGGUUCAAAUCCUGCUGUUGUCG